Osmerus eperlanus (European smelt) is the source of this 1125-nucleotide long non-coding RNA. RefSeq lists it as uncharacterized. The transcript is spliced from 6 exons. NCBI's taxonomy places the organism in Eukaryota, Metazoa, Chordata, Actinopteri, Osmeriformes, Osmeridae. The record is from RefSeq and is a predicted model, not a curated record.
GGACACGCCCAUUUGAAGCACAACUGAAGGGGGAUUUUGCAAUGGGGGAUGGAGUGAAACGGCACUUCUUUUCAUUGCUGUUAGACAAGCUCCACACUGGACUGCAACUGGACCUUGACAACUGUGGAGGAAAAACUUUGUUUUUUGUUGGGGAGGAAGACCAUCAGGUUCCCUCAACAUUAAGACCUCUGCUAGAUGGUGACCUCUUCAGGGUAGUGGGGCGAGUCAUUGGUCAUUCCUUUAUCAAUGGGGGCCCACUGCUAACUGGUCUUCGUCAGUGCUUUUUCACUCUUCUAAGUGGCUCCAAAGAUGCCACCCCAAUCCUGGAGUUAAAGGACUUCCCUGACAUCGAUGUAGUUGACAUAGUUUCUCUUCUUGAAAUCCAGAAUGCCCUUACAACCGCUUAAACAGAGGAAGUCAACAACUUGGCCAUCAGCUGGGACCUGCCUACACUGACUGUGACAAACAGACGAUGGUUGGCAGAAAGAAUCCUCCAUCAUGGGAUAUUUCUGGUGCCAAGGUGAUAGGCCGACAUGGGCAGAUCGCACAAAUAAGAAGUGGGCUGAAGGACACAGGGGUGCUACGGCUACUGAAAGGACGGCACGAAUUAGCAACUGUGAUGUUUCCCAGAUGUGCCGAGCUAGUGCUGGAACCAGAGAUGAUCAUUCAAAGAAUAAUUUGGCCAGAAUCAGAGAGUGAUGAAGAAGACAACAUAGAGGACUUCUGUGAGGCCACAUCAUUCUUACGUGAAUACAUUGGAACAGGUGAGAAAUGCAAACUUGCAGUUGAUGUCAAAAGCUCACAAACUUGUAAAUUACAUUGCUAUUUCAAUGACAUGUAUCCCUGUUUUGUCAACAAUUCAAAAUGAAGGAAAAUAAAUUAGAAGCAAAGUUCAUUAUACAAACUUGCCUUUGGUUCCAUGCAAGAUAUGCCAUCUAGUUAUAAUUUCAUGUCAGUAAAAGCAUCCCGUCUGAAGACUGGUCAUUUGACCGCCCAUUUGAGCUAUAAGUUGGGAAAACCGGCUUGGUGCUUCUUGUGUUAAAUUAGAAAAUGUUAUUACACUUGAAGUAAAUUACUCAGUGAAAAUAAUACACACAACCCAGCAUACUUAAGGUGUUUCCAUGU